Molecule: antisense RNA, 75 nt
Filed under: Streptomyces oceani
Lineage: Bacteria; Bacillati; Actinomycetota; Actinomycetes; Kitasatosporales; Streptomycetaceae
Description: Streptomyces sp. SCSIO 02100 ASpks TB sRNA
Rfam family: ASpks TB sRNA
Source: Rfam by way of RNAcentral
CUUGAACGAGCCGAGGUACAACGGCUGCUGGCUCGGCCGCCCCUUGCCGUAGGUGGCGAGCAGCGCGUGUGCCUC